Molecule: long non-coding RNA, 611 nt
Filed under: Chrysemys picta bellii (western painted turtle)
Lineage: Eukaryota; Metazoa; Chordata; Testudines; Emydidae
Description: lncRNA (ENSCPBG00000024837.1)
Source: RNAcentral
UACUGGGUCAGACCAAAGGUCCAUCUAGCCCAGUAUCCUGUCUUCCGACAGUGGCCAGUGCCAGGUGCCCCCGAGGGAAUGAACAGAACAGGUAAUCAUCAAGUGAUCCAUUCCCUGUCGCUCAUUUCCAGCUUCUGCAAACAGAGGCUAGGGACACCAUCCCUGCCCAUCCUAGCUAAUUGCCAUUGAUGGACCUAUCCUCCAUGAACUUAUCUAGUUAUUUUUUUUGACCCCUGUUAUAGUCUUGGCCUUGGUCUCCAUGAAGAACACUCAUCAUGCCAGCUCCUACAAUGUAACCAGUUGAGCUUUCCAGAAGCGGUCUGUGUCUUGCUACUAGACCCUGGGACAAAGAGCCCGACAUUCAUGGGGUUUCCUUUGCCUCCUUUAGGGAGUGGACGCAGUACCCUGGGACCAAUCACACACCAUAAAUAGUCAAAGUGAAGAGUUUGCAAGCAAGACAGAUGUUACUGGUCUGAAAUAGUCCGUGAGUGCCCAGUAUCAUAAUGGGCUGAUUUGGGGAGAAAAAACUCAGAUUGGCGUUGGAAAGAUACACUUUAAUUACCAUGCAUCAUAUCACCUCCGAACAUGGAACCUUACUUUGUUAGGAAGAG